This 2455-nucleotide long non-coding RNA is filed under the name Homo sapiens (human). Its description in RNAcentral is "HSALNT0351735". The record is from RNAcentral. Lineage: Eukaryota; Metazoa; Chordata; Mammalia; Primates; Hominidae.
GGUGGCAGAGCCCAGCCACCAGGGUCUGCUCCAUGCCUGGUCCCUGGAGAGGCCCUCACCCUCUCUGCUUUCACCCAACCCGACUGACACGGAGUAGGAGGUGGGAAUCAUGCAGGCAGGGAGCUUAGGAAGCCUGGUUCAAGCACACACCUACACUUGAUGGCAGGGAAAUAAUUAUUUCCUGCAGAAUGGGCUGCAAAUGUAACAAACCCCCUGACCUUCAGUCUGAAGAGAGAGAACUAUCAACCACACAGAAGCAAAGAUCCAGAGAAAUACUGAGGGAUGCUACCAGACACUCAACCAGGGCCACUCUCCGAGAUUCCAGCCAGCCACACAGCAAAGAUGCUGGCCGGGGACACUGCCCCAAACCACCAGACAGAACCCCAAAGAAACAGCUCCACACACAGUGGAAGAUACACCAGAGACUGUUAGAAGGACCAUCAGACAAAGCCAAAGAGACAGGUAGAUGAAACCAGAUAACCAGCCAGAGAGGUGGUCAGAGAACAGCGACACAAUCAAAGGACCCACCAGAAACACUGUAAAGGACUCAGCUAGACCCAGGCAGAUACACUGCCGAAGGACGAGCAAGGAGCACAGGCAGUGAAGCCGUCGGCGACAAAGCCAGAGAGCUAAGACACUGUCAGAAACAGUGCCAGAGAAACCGUCUGACACACAAGCAGAGAAAUACCAGAGAAACUGAUAGACGCAAACAGGCGUACACCCAGAAAAACAGCUUGAGAGAAGAGCCAGAGCCACAGCCAGAUGCUCAGUCAGGAAGUAUCCACACCACUCCAAACACUGCCAGAGACACUGUCAGACACACAGUCAGACACACUGCCAGAGACACCGUUAUAAAGACUGCCAGAGAAACAGCCAGACACACAGCCAGAAAAACUGACAGAGACGCAGUGCCAGAUAUACCCCGAGAAAGUGCCAGAGACUCAGCUCCAGACAGUGCAGACAUAGCAUAACAGAGACAAAUGUGGGUAUCAGCCUGAAGCAGCUGCGGAGAGGCUGGAGAGCAAUGAACUUCCUGGGGCUUCCUGUGGGAGAGGGCUCCUGCCUGCCUUUUGCUACCCUUGACCCUCUCCAGGAAAGUCCCCUCCUCUGAGCCUGCUUUUCCUUUCCUCCCUGUCACAGCCACAGGUGCCCUGACUGCCCCUCCCUGGCACAGUAAAUCUCUCUGUGUCCUAAGUGGCCCCAGCUACCCUUUGCGCAUCAGUGACUCCUGGAGCCUUAGCUACCACUUGGCCUGGCUCCUUCUGACCCUCAGCCCCUCACCACUCUUCAGCUACUCCUCAGGCCUAGGAGGUUAAGACAAUGGCCAAAGUUACACAGCCAGCAAGCCGUGCAGCCAGGAAAUGAACCCAGGACUGCCUGAAUUCAGAGCUGGUGUAAGAGAGAGAAAACGAGACCAGCAGCCAGAGGCCUACCUGGUUCCCCAACCUCAGCCCUGGCCAGUCGCCCUCACACCCUCCCCCACUGCCUCUGCCAUCUGUCCAUGUCUUUCUCCUCACAGCCAGGAAGAUCCUCCGCCUCAGUGCCAGGCCACUGCCCACCACAUGGGAGCAGGAACCAGGGCAUGGGCAGGCAGAAGAGCAGGCGGAGUGGCUGAGCUCCUGUCCCGGCUCCCUAAGGUGUUCCCAGUUUGCGGAGGAUUACGUGCCCUCUCAGCCCAGUAGCACACUUUCCAAAUAAGCCAUCAGACUCCUCCCAAGAUCCUGAAACUGAGGCUCAGAGAGCAGAAGCAGCUUGGCCAAAGUCAUACAACUGGUAGUUGGUAAAGGAGCUGGCCUUGAACUCAGGGAUAUCUUGAAAGCCACUGUUGCUUCUAUGGACUCUAGCCAUUCAAAAGACCCCUCACCUUCUAUAAGACCCCAGGAGAUCCUCAGGGUCCAACUGCUCCCUUGAAAACAGGUCCCAGAUAUAUCUGCCAAAGGUAUGAUUAGGUGCCUAAACACAUACCAUGAGAAAGGGAUUCCAUGUCUUCCAAUCCUGCCCAGAGAUGCAGAGACACCACCACCCAGGGAGAGAUAGCCAGAAACUAAAAUAAGAUGUUAGAGACAGGUGGUUGAUAGUGACAGAUACAGCCACACCAAGACAGGCUCAAAGGGAGGAAGACUGAGGGGAAGCCAGAGACAGAGAGGGACACAUUAGGCCAAAGAAUGAGAGAGAUAGCUGGAAAAGGAGACAAUAGGAGUAGAGGAGGGUACAGGCUGACAUGAAAAAACACCGACAGAUACACUCCAGUAUGCAGACAGACACAUAUAGACCCAUCUGACCUUCACAAGAAACAGACUGUGAAAGCAAGCAAGGCUCAGGCUGUGUGUGGUGUGCGUAUGUGUGUGUGCGUAUUGUGGGGGGAGCAUGCAGAGUCUGUAUAGCUACGCACAUUACACCAGCUGCUUCCAGCAAUUUCAUCUGAUUAAUAAUAAAUGCCCCAUAAUUACAGCCG